AGCAAUUAGAGCAGUUGCAUGCAACGGACCGCGGGCUCCAAUUAAUAACCAGCUCAGUUUUUACACGAUAAUAACCGAGGGCAUGGAUACUUUGUUUAAUUGGAUUGAAUUAAUGAUGCUUGGCGUUUUGGCCAGUCGCGACCUUAAGGAAUUCCACGAAUGCAGAAGAAAGCUCUCAGCUUGAUUGCAGUCAAACUCCGCGAGUAAAUAUCUCAAACAGCCCCAAGUGCUACUUAUGCACUUGAAAUGCUUGUGCGGCGGCCCACGGGGCGUAUGCGUGCU
This is a long non-coding RNA of Drosophila montana, 282 nucleotides long. RefSeq lists it as uncharacterized. The record is from RefSeq and is a predicted model, not a curated record. Lineage: Eukaryota; Metazoa; Arthropoda; Insecta; Diptera; Drosophilidae. The transcript has 3 exons.